GCUAGGUGUGGUGAUGCACACCUGUAAUCCCAUUGACUCAGGAGGCUGAGGAAGGAGGAUAGCGUGUUUGUGGUAUGGGCAACUUUGUGAGACCCUGUCUCAA
RNAcentral lists this small RNA (103 nucleotides) under Marmota monax (woodchuck). Lineage: Eukaryota; Metazoa; Chordata; Mammalia; Rodentia; Sciuridae. The record is from RNAcentral.